GGCGCUGUAGCUCAGGGGUAGAGCACGUGCUUAGUGUGCACGAGGUCCUGGGCUCGGUCCCUAGCACCUCCA
RNAcentral lists this transfer RNA (72 nucleotides) under Camelus ferus (Wild Bactrian camel). It matches the Rfam family "tRNA". Rfam says of the family: Transfer RNA (tRNA) molecules are approximately 80 nucleotides in length. Their secondary structure includes four short double-helical elements and three loops (D, anti-codon, and T loops). Lineage: Eukaryota; Metazoa; Chordata; Mammalia; Artiodactyla; Camelidae. The record is from Rfam by way of RNAcentral.